Molecule: ribosomal RNA, 253 nt
Filed under: uncultured bacterium
Lineage: Bacteria
Description: partial 16S ribosomal RNA
Rfam family: Bacterial small subunit ribosomal RNA
Source: RNAcentral
UACGUAGGGUGCGAGCGUUGUCCGGAAUUAUUGGGCGUAAAGAGCUCGUAGGCGGUUUGUCGCGUCUGCCGUGAAAGUCCGGGGCUCAACUCCGGAUCUGCGGUGGGUACGGGCAGACUAGAGUGAUGUAGGGGAGACUGGAAUUCCCGGUGUAGUGGUGAAAUGCGUAGAUAUCGGGAGGAACACCAGUGGCGAAGGCGACUACCUGGCCUGUUCUUGACGCUGAGGCGCGAAAGCUAGGGGAGCGAACGGG